AGUCGUAACAAGGUUUCCGUAGGUGAACCUGCGGAAGGAUCAUUACCAAAACAAAAUAAACUAAGCGUUCCCGCUCACGAGAGGCUUCAAAACUUUAAACUGAGCACGCGUUAUGUUUGCGUGAAGAAACAUGCGUCCCCGUUAUCCGUCCCUCAGGCCGGUGUGUGGUGGCGUAACAUUCCCACUACCCUAUGUUUACCUACCUUUGUUGCUUUGGCGGGCCGCGGCCUCCGCUGCGGGCUCACGCUCGCACGUGCCCGCCAGAGGACCCAACUCUUGAUUUUAGUGAUGUCUGAGUACUAUUAAAUAGUUAAAACUUUCAACAACGGAUCUCUUGGUUCUGGCAUCGAUGAAGAACGCAGCGAAAUGCGAUAAGUAAUGUGAAUUGCAGAAUUCAGUGAAUCAUCGAAUCUUUGAACGCACAUUGCGCCCGCUGGUAUUCCGGCGGGCAUGCCUGUUCGAGCGUCAUUAUGACCAACUCACGCUCCGCGUGGNCUUGGGGUCCGCUGUCACGGCGGCCCCUAAACGCAGUGNCGGUGCCGUGCGGCUCUCAGCGUAGUAAUUUAUCUCGCUACAGGGUCCGGACGGUGCUGGCCAGCAACCCCAACUUCUUUAGGUUGACCUCGGAUCAGGUAGGGAUACCCGCUGAACUUAAGCAUAUCAAUAAGCGGAGGAAAAGAAACCAACAGGGAUUACCUCAGUAACGGCGAGUGAAGCGGUAACAGCUCAAAUUUGAAAUCUGGCUCUUUCAGGGUCCGAGUUGUAAUUUGUAGAAGAUGCUUCGAGUGUGGUCCCGGUCUAAGUUCCUUGGAACAGGACGUCAUAGAGGGUGAGAAUCCCGUAUGCGACUGGGUGCCUUCGCUCAUGUGAAGCUCUUUCGACGAGUCGAGUUGUUUGGGAAUGCAGCUCAAAAUGGGUGGUAAAUUUCAUCUAAAGCUAAAUAUUGGCCAGAGACCGAUAGCGCACAAGUAGAGUGAUCGAAAGAUGAAAAGCACUUUGGAAAGAGAGUUAAACAGUACGUGAAAUUGUUGAAAGGGAAGCGCUUGCAACCAGACUUGCCCGCCGUCGAUCAUCCGGGGUUCUCCCCGGUGCACUCGGCGGCGUUCAGGCCAGCAUCGGUUUCGGUGGUGGGAUAAAGGCCUUGGGAAUGUAGCUUCUUUCGGGGAGUGUUAUAGCCCUCGGUGCAAUGCCGCCUACCGGGACCGAGGACCGCGCUUCGGCUAGGAUGCUGGCGUAAUGGUUGUAAGCGACC
RNAcentral lists this ribosomal RNA (1252 nucleotides) under uncultured fungus. RNAcentral describes it as "eukaryotic LSU rRNA". The stretch from base 619 to 1252 matches the Rfam family "Eukaryotic large subunit ribosomal RNA", at positions 1 to 649 of the family's 3401-position model. Lineage: Eukaryota; Fungi. The record is from RNAcentral.